Molecule: long non-coding RNA, 914 nt
Organism: Bombina bombina (fire-bellied toad)
Lineage: Eukaryota; Metazoa; Chordata; Amphibia; Anura; Bombinatoridae
Exons: 8
Source: RefSeq, a predicted model, not a curated record
GUUGCAUUUGAAUCUUACUGACUUCCUGUACACGCAAGCUUCUGGAAGGCUGAAAUUGCGCCAAAAAUUGUGAGAUGUUUGUGGUGUUUAGAAGCUGGCUUGUUUGGAAUAUCUGUCCAGCUGAAAAAUGGCUCCAGCGGUUAAACAGGUGAUGGCAUGGCAGAAUGGCUUUAUGGAAACUUCAAGCAUAUGACUGCUUAAUUUUCUUCCACAAGGUUGAGACCAGUUUGCAGGUGAUGCUGAAGUUAUCAGAUCUACAGCACCAGUUGACAUACAGCCAACACUUAGUGUCUAUUUAAUUGUCAAAAGGAAUGUCUGUGCCUCCUUUGUUAAAACAGCCUUGAUGUUGCAUUUGAAUCUUACUGACUUCCUGUACACUCAAGCUUCUGGAAGGCUGAAAUUGCGCCAAAAAUUGUGAGAAAUUUGUGGCGUUUAGAAGCUGGCUUGUUUGGAAUAUCCUUUCCAGCUGAAAAAUGGCUCCAGCGGUUAAACAGGUGAUGGCAUGGCAGAAUGGCUUUAUGGAAACUUCAAGCAUAUGACUGCUUAAUUUUCUUCCACAAGGUUGUGAGACCAGUUUGCAGGUGAUGCUGAAGUUAUCAGAUCUACAGCACCAGUUGACAUACAGCCAACACUUAGUGUCUAUUUAAUUGUCAAAAGGAAUGUCUGUGCCUCCUUUGUUAAAACAGAUCUAGCAAUAUGAAGCGAGAGGCCAUAAUGUACAAAGAGGUCUUCACCUCAACUGCGUUUGCUGACAUCCAGGCUGCAAGUUGGUUAUCCGGUCAAGCUGCUGUUUGCUGCAUGAAAAGGACACAUCUGCUGCUCAAGAUCUGCUACGUCAUUCUGCUGCACAAGAUGAGAUUUCGCUGGGACACCAUUCAAGUAUGCCAAGGAUUCAACCAGAUUCGUCAGACGUC